RNAcentral lists this unclassified non-coding RNA (164 nucleotides) under fungal sp. RNAcentral's name for it is "partial internal transcribed spacer region". The stretch from base 1 to 46 matches the Rfam family "Eukaryotic small subunit ribosomal RNA", at positions 1786 to 1831 of the family's 1831-position model. The record is from RNAcentral. Lineage: Eukaryota; Fungi.
AAGUCGUAACAAGGUUUCCGUAGGUGAACCUGCGGAAGGAUCAUUAACAAAAUCUAAUUUUACCUUUGUGAAUUGAGUAGCCAAUUUUGGCUGCUUCUGUCUACUUUAAGUCUAAAUUCAUACAAAUUAUAUAAUAAUUUUUAACAAUGGAUCUCUAGGCUCUU